This 290-nucleotide ribosomal RNA is filed under the name uncultured Hyphomicrobiaceae bacterium. RNAcentral's name for it is "partial 16S ribosomal RNA". It matches the Rfam family "Bacterial small subunit ribosomal RNA", at positions 360 to 667 of the family's 1533-position model. Lineage: Bacteria; Pseudomonadati; Pseudomonadota; Alphaproteobacteria; Hyphomicrobiales; Hyphomicrobiaceae. The record is from RNAcentral.
AAUAUUGGACAAUGGGCGCAAGCCUGAUCCAGCCAUGCCGCGUGGGUGAUGAAGGCCCUAGGGUUGUAAAGCCCUUUCAGCGGGGAAGAUAAUGACGGUACCCGCAGAAGAAGCCCCGGCUAACUUCGUGCCAGCAGCCGCGGUAAUACGAAGGGGGCUAGCGUUGCUCGGAAUUACUGGGCGUAAAGCGCACGUAGGCGGCUUUCUAAGUCGGGGGUGAAAUCCUGGAGCUCAACUCCAGAACUGCCUUCGAUACUGGAAAGCUCGAGUCCGGGAGAGGUGAGUGGAAC